CAUAUCAAUAUAUUAAGUAUAAAAUUAUAUCCUAGAUUAAUUAUAAUGUGUCAGCCAUAUUGGCUUUUAGGAUAUAUAUCUAACAAUCUUCCACUUGGACUAAAGCCAAUUGAUCAUAAGUCUAAAUCCCAUCUUUUCAAGGUGGACUUUCAUUUUUGGUUGGCUCAGCUACUUAGUUAGUGGGUCUGCCAUGUUAUCCGUGG
RNAcentral lists this long non-coding RNA (203 nucleotides) under Elaeis guineensis (African oil palm). RNAcentral's name for it is "long non-coding RNA (EGUI_LNC064425)". The record is from RNAcentral. Lineage: Eukaryota; Viridiplantae; Streptophyta; Magnoliopsida; Arecales; Arecaceae.